AAACCAACAGGGAUUGCCUUAGUAACGGCGAGCGAAGCGGCAAUAGCUCAAAUUUGAAAUCUGGCGUCUUUGGCGUCCGAGUUGUAAUUUCAAGAAGUGUCUUCUGGUUUGGCCCUUGCAUAUGUUCCUUGGAACAGGACGUCAUAGAGGGUGAGAAUCCCGUAUAUGGUGAGGUGCCCAUUUCCUUUGUAAGACGCUCUCUAAGAGUCGAGUUGUUUGGGAAUGCAGCUCUAAGUGGGUGGUAAAUUCCAUCUAAAGCUAAAUAUUGGCGAGAGACCGAUAGCGAACAAGUACUGUGAAGGAAAGAUGAAAAGAACUUUGAAAAGAGAGUGAAAAAGUACGUGAAAUUGCUGAAAGGGAAGGGCUUGAGAUCAGACUUGGUAUUCAGUGAUCAGCUGUCUUUCGGGACUGUGCACUCGCUGUUUACUGGGCCAACAUCAGUUUGGAUGGCGAGAUAAUGACAAUUGAAUGUGGCUCUCUCUUCGGGGGGAGUGUUAUAGCUUUUGUUGAUAUCGCCUAUCUGGAUUGAGGACCGCGCUUCGGCUAGGAUGUUGGCGUAAUGAUCUUAAGCCAC
Molecule: ribosomal RNA, 574 nt
Filed under: [Candida] sp. ST-79
Lineage: Eukaryota; Fungi; Ascomycota; Saccharomycetes; Saccharomycetales
Description: eukaryotic LSU rRNA
Rfam family: Eukaryotic large subunit ribosomal RNA
Source: RNAcentral